CUUGGCAGAAAUGUUAUAUGUAAAAUAGGCAGCUAGCUCUCUGCAACUCUCACAUGGUCGCCCACUGAAGCUAAGCCCGGUCAGUACCUGGAUGGGAGACCACAUGGGAAAGCUAGGUUGCUGCCAGAA
RNAcentral lists this ribosomal RNA (129 nucleotides) under Danio rerio (zebrafish). Lineage: Eukaryota; Metazoa; Chordata; Actinopteri; Cypriniformes; Danionidae. The record is from RNAcentral.